GGGCCCGUAGGCUAGUCAGGAUAGACUGUGGGUCUUCGGAAUCCACGACCCGGGUUCGAAUCCCGGCGGGCCCA
Aciduliprofundum boonei T469 is the source of this 74-nucleotide transfer RNA. It matches the Rfam family "tRNA". Rfam says of the family: Transfer RNA (tRNA) molecules are approximately 80 nucleotides in length. Their secondary structure includes four short double-helical elements and three loops (D, anti-codon, and T loops). The record is from Rfam. NCBI's taxonomy places the organism in Archaea, Methanobacteriati, Thermoplasmatota.